RNAcentral lists this transfer RNA (73 nucleotides) under Ailuropoda melanoleuca (giant panda). It matches the Rfam family "tRNA". From Rfam's summary of the family: Transfer RNA (tRNA) molecules are approximately 80 nucleotides in length. Their secondary structure includes four short double-helical elements and three loops (D, anti-codon, and T loops). Lineage: Eukaryota; Metazoa; Chordata; Mammalia; Carnivora; Ursidae. The record is from Rfam by way of RNAcentral.
GACUGACUGGCUCAAUUGGUAGAGUAUGUAACUCUUGAUCUCAGGGUCAUGAGUUCAAGUCCCAUGUUGGGCA